This 64-nucleotide transfer RNA is filed under the name Cavia porcellus (domestic guinea pig). It matches the Rfam family "tRNA". From Rfam's summary of the family: Transfer RNA (tRNA) molecules are approximately 80 nucleotides in length. Their secondary structure includes four short double-helical elements and three loops (D, anti-codon, and T loops). Lineage: Eukaryota; Metazoa; Chordata; Mammalia; Rodentia; Caviidae. The record is from Rfam by way of RNAcentral.
GGGGAUUUAGCUUAGUGGCAUAAGCGCCUGCCUGGCAAGUGUGAGGUCGUGAGUUCAAUCCCCG